AUGUUUCUAUAUGACCACUCGAGAUAUCUCGAGAGAUUUUCAUAAUCGAUAUAAUCGAUAAUUUUCAUUCGAGUAGUCCCAUCACUAGUGUGAAGUAAAUAAUUAA
Long non-coding RNA from Anoplophora glabripennis (Asian longhorned beetle), 106 nucleotides. RefSeq lists it as uncharacterized. Lineage: Eukaryota; Metazoa; Arthropoda; Insecta; Coleoptera; Cerambycidae. The record is from RefSeq and is a predicted model, not a curated record. The transcript has 3 exons.